RNAcentral lists this ribosomal RNA (350 nucleotides) under Babesia venatorum (nom. ined.). RNAcentral's name for it is "SSU rRNA". It matches the Rfam family "Eukaryotic small subunit ribosomal RNA", at positions 476 to 880 of the family's 1831-position model. The record is from RNAcentral. Lineage: Eukaryota; Apicomplexa; Aconoidasida; Piroplasmida; Babesiidae.
AAUAACAAUACAGGGCAAUUGUCUUGUAAUUGGAAUGAUGGUGACCUAAACCCUCACCAGAGUAACAAUUGGAGGGCAAGUCUGGUGCCAGCAGCCGCGGUAAUUCCAGCUCCAAUAGCGUAUAUUAAACUUGUUGCAGUUAAAAAGCUCGUAGUUGAAUUUCUGCGUUAUCGAGUUAUUGACUCUUGUCUUUAAUCGAUUUCGCUUUUGGGAUUUAUCCCUUUUUACUUUGAGAAAAUUAGAGUGUUUCAAGCAGACUUUUGUCUUGAAUACUUCAGCAUGGAAUAAUAGAGUAGGACUUUGGUUCUAUUUUGUUGGUUUUUGAACCUUAGUAAUGGUUAAUAGGAACG